This 268-nucleotide unclassified non-coding RNA is filed under the name plant metagenome. RNAcentral describes it as "partial contains small subunit ribosomal RNA, internal transcribed spacer 1, and 5.8S ribosomal RNA". The record is from RNAcentral.
UUUCCGUAGGUGAACCUGCGGAAGGAUCAUUAAUGAGUUGUCAUGGGGUUCGAUGCAGGCAGCCAAUUUUUGGAUGCAUGUGCUUGCCCUAACAACCAUCUUCCAAACACCUGUGCACAUUUUGAGGGAGUCUUGAGUUGGUUGCCGCUCUUGGGUGAUUUUCUCACAUUCCCUUAAAUCAUUAUACGCUAUUAACAAUGUUGAACGUGCUCUGUGCCGCAAGGCUAUUAAUAUAAUACAACUUUUAACAACGGAUCUCUUGGCUCUC